This 231-nucleotide ribosomal RNA is filed under the name uncultured bacterium. Its description in RNAcentral is "partial 16S ribosomal RNA". It matches the Rfam family "Bacterial small subunit ribosomal RNA", at positions 99 to 334 of the family's 1533-position model. The record is from RNAcentral.
CGGACGGGUGAGUAAUGUCUGGGAAACUGCCCGAUGGAGGGGGAUAACUACUGGAAACGGUAGCUAAUACCGCAUAACGUCGCAAGACCAAAGAGGGGGACCUCGGGCCUCUUGCCAUCGGAUGUGCCCAGAUGGGAUUAGCUAGUAGGUGGGGUAACGGCUCACCUAGGCGACGAUCCCUAGCUGGUCUGAGAGGAUGAUCAGCCACACUGGGACUGAGACACGGCCCAG